CUGUGGGGGCGGGGGCUGUUCUUAGGGCACCGGUGGAUCCAUCCUCAUCUCCGUCUCCACCUCCCCUCCUCCUUCGUUGCCUCCCGGGCUUCCUCCUCUCCUGUUGUCAGUUGGGAUCAGCUGAUCGGAGUGAACUUCUCCCAGCUCAGACUAACAGGAAGGCGUGAGCGGUGCAGCCCAGGGAGGGAGGAGCGGGAGGGGUGGAGUUUAACGCCGGCGUGGGCGGGGAAAGGGUGCGCACUGCCUCCUGGGACAUGUAGUUCUCACCUGCACGUCCUGGCCUCACAUCCCGGAAGUGAAGACACUGAAUGACUACAACUCCCAGUUCCAAAGAGGAUACUCUUCCCAGGAGGCGGUGGAGACCCGCCACCGAGCAUUUCGGGACUUGGAGUUUUCGCUAAGACUGGUUUCAGCCUGUUGUUUUGGAAUAACACAGAGAGAGCCUGAUAUUAAGGAAAAGAGCAAUGCUCUGUGAGAUUGAAGACUGGAUACUUGGUCUAGAAAAGUGCUUGAUUAUCGUAGGUGGCUGAGGGGCCACCAUGUGGCGAGG
Tupaia belangeri chinensis (Chinese tree shrew) is the source of this 550-nucleotide long non-coding RNA. RefSeq lists it as uncharacterized. The record is from RefSeq and is a predicted model, not a curated record. The transcript is spliced from 3 exons. NCBI's taxonomy places the organism in Eukaryota, Metazoa, Chordata, Mammalia, Scandentia, Tupaiidae.